CAGUAGCCGCGGGAAAACGAAGGGUGCAAGCGUUACUCGGAAUUACUGGGCGUAAAGCGUGCGUAGGUGGUGGUUUAAGUCCGUUGUGAAAGCCCUGGGCUCAACCUGGGGACUGCGCUUGAUACGGUCGAGCUAGAGGAUGGAAGAGGGUCGUGGAAUUCCCAGUGUAGAGGUGAAAUUCGUAGAUAUUGGGAAGAACACCGGUGGCGAAGGCGGCGACCUGGUCCAUUACUGACGCUGAGGCGCGACAGCGUGGGGAGCAAACAGGAUUAGAUACCCCCGUAGUCCCUGUCUCUUAUAC
This 301-nucleotide ribosomal RNA is filed under the name uncultured bacterium. Its description in RNAcentral is "partial 16S ribosomal RNA". It matches the Rfam family "Bacterial small subunit ribosomal RNA", at positions 509 to 807 of the family's 1533-position model. The record is from RNAcentral.